Molecule: long non-coding RNA, 92 nt
Organism: Phyllostomus discolor (pale spear-nosed bat)
Lineage: Eukaryota; Metazoa; Chordata; Mammalia; Chiroptera; Phyllostomidae
Exons: 3
Source: RefSeq, a predicted model, not a curated record
AAAGCUUCCAUAAAUAUUCAAUCACUGUCAUUGUUUAUUGGGUUUGGUAGUGACAGGCAGACUGAAUGCCCAUGAUGUCUUUUCUGGUUUCA